GUGGAUGUAGCUCAGUUGGUUAGAGCGCUGGAUUGUGGUUCCAGAGGUCGCCGGUUCGACCCCGGUCUUUCACCCUA
RNAcentral lists this transfer RNA (77 nucleotides) under Marinifilum breve. RNAcentral describes it as "tRNA-His". It matches the Rfam family "tRNA". From Rfam's summary of the family: Transfer RNA (tRNA) molecules are approximately 80 nucleotides in length. Lineage: Bacteria; Pseudomonadati; Bacteroidota; Bacteroidia; Marinilabiliales; Marinifilaceae. The record is from RNAcentral.